AUCCAGAAACGGAUGGAUA
This 19-nucleotide unclassified non-coding RNA is filed under the name Influenza A virus. RNAcentral's name for it is "RNA (5'-R(*AP*UP*CP*CP*AP*GP*AP*AP*AP*CP*GP*GP*AP*UP*GP*GP*AP*UP*A)-3') from Influenza A virus (PDB 7RQ5, chain A)". Lineage: Riboviria; Orthornavirae; Negarnaviricota; Insthoviricetes; Articulavirales; Orthomyxoviridae. The record is from RNAcentral.